GAGAAGAAGGUGGUAAUCUGCAGACUGUGUUGAGCUCUUGUCUUACUGUGGGGAGGCAGUAAAGAAGGAUGGAGGGAGUGAGGGAAGAAGGGAAGGAGGAACAAAAGGGUAGGAGGGAAGGGAAGGAAGAAGGCUUAAGGAAAAGGCUGCUGAGAGGUGAGGUAUAAUACACACAAAGUGCUCCUCUGUGCAGGUGUGAAGGUUUCCUGCACAGAGAUCAGCCCAGGCAAAGUUGAAACCAGGCUGCCUGUCUCCAGCCCCACUGCCUCAUUGCUGCCUCCCUUGGACAUGGCUGAAUGCCUCAGAGAUCCAUCUGGAUUCGAGUCAAGAGGAUCUGCUGGAGGCAAAAUAAUAGGGCACAACAUGUGAGAAAGAACUGAAGAAUGGGUGCAUCUGUAUGGGAAUGGUGUGCAGGGUGUUUCAGGGGGACCGAGGCUGUUAACCUGUUUGAGAUCAAGUGCCACAAGCUCUUAAAGCCAUGAUGAUCUCUGUGAGAUACAGACAUUUCUACCUGAAGACACAGUUCAAGUGUCUCAGAGCUGAGCUUCUGUUGCCUUGCAGCCGGCACAUCCUGCGUUACCCUCUUACUGGGUUAGACUUUGAGUGCAACUGGACAGGCUGGACUAUACUAAUCCCUGAAUGGAGCAUGGCUUGAGUUUGCUCAGAAUGGCCUGGGUAUGGCUGGCUUGGCCUGAGUUACACUGGCUUUGAUGUGACUGAGCUAAACAUACAUGGACUGAGUGCAAUCUGAAUGCAGGUUUGAGAUGGCAUCGAUAUGGGCAUGUUCUGGGUAGGCUAGACCUGAUGGGAUUAGCUGCCUUACACUGUGUUGGACUUGGAGAUGAAAACAAGACUGCUUUGAACUGAGUUAAUAUUCAUGGUGGAUGAGAGUGGGCUGAUGGGAAGAGUUUGCCUGGAUACAGUGCUGCAAGUGACUUCGCUGGUUUAAAAGCCUCAUUUUGCUUUUACCAGAACCUGUUGCACCAUUUAGGAAUCCAUUUGCUGGACCAACUUUCCAUGGGUAGGAAAAAGGUUAUUCAGCAAGUGCUGAAAUAGGAUCCCCAGAAGGCUGACAAAAAUCUUUAGCUUCUCAGUGUCCAACAGCUCUGGGCCAUCUCCUUCUUCUACAACCCGUGAGUGGUUCAUGCCAGAACAUCUGCAUCUUCUUCCUGAAGAAGCCUUAAAAAGGAAAAUGCUCGGAGAAAUUCCCAAAUGAGGGAUGGCUGCUGGUGUUUGGAGUGAGUUAAUAGGACCUGAAAACCUCACACAUGAGGUUUUAUGAAUGACUGGGUUGCCUCGAUAGUGCAACAUUUUGUGCAAUCUAAAAUAGUGUGUGUAAUGCAUUGCCAGUGUGACUUACUGAAGUGAUAACAUAAAUACUUGGACACAGGAUUAAGCCUCAAAUAAAGGGAAAUUCGGGCUGUUUCCCAAUAAACAAUGUCUCAACAUAAAAUACUGUACGUGAACGACCUGGCGAGUCAGUCUAGGUGGCAGUGCUGCCAAAUCCCUUCCCUCCCCACUUGUUCUGCCUCUGCUUUUAUAAACCAGAAAUGUGUAGUGAUGGGUAGGAGAUGGUGUUGUCCCAGGGAGAAGCAGAGCCCCAUCUCCUUACACAGCUAGCAGAGAGUGGAGCAGGAGAGCGGAGGGUAGCACAGCGCUGUACAGCUGCAGGGCUGCUCACAACAGGGCAGAGCUCCCGGAGAAUGUGCUCUUUGUUCCCUGCCUUUAAAGGGUAAGAGAAACACUUAUGCAUGGCAAAUUAGCCCAAAAAUGUAUUUCUCUAAAACACCCGAUUGUCUGGCCAGCUCUGCAGCUGCAGGGAAGUUCCAGGGAGAGAAGGGGGAGGCGGCGGGAAGGAGAAAGAGGGAGGCAGGGAAGGAGGAUUUUGAUGGCUGUGGGGGAAAAGGCAAGAUGAUUGUGUGGAUGAGGGACAAAUUCUCAUGCCUCGAUUCAAACAGAGCUGACCAGUGAGCAGGGGACCCCUGAUGGAGGGGCCACAUUGGUGGCCAGGGGACCAUGGAUGCUGUGUGGUCUUCUGGGGGGGUAGGGAGGAGAGGGGACAGAGGGGACAGGAGGCAGCUGUGCUCCAGGCAGUGCACUGAUGCAGCCGGUGGUGCCGGGGAGUCCUGGUGCCCAUCUGGGCCAGGAUGCUCAGCAAGCAGUGCCAUGCUCCUCUAGUCACCGUGGCCUGCAUCCCAGGGGGCAAUGGGUUGUGACCCCUCUGCUUCAGAGCAAAAUGCACAGGGUGCAGCCCUCUGUGGAGGUGCAGGGGCUGUGCUGUUCCCAAGAUGUGGCACGUGGGUUUAAAAUGCCCUGAAUGUACUCUUGAUUAGGAACUUCAUCUGGCCUUGUUAGGAAUGUCCAGCCUAAUGUUGAUAGUAAUUUAAAAACUCCCAAACCAUCACUGGCGGACAAGUGAUGCCUUGAACUUCCCUGGGGUUCGGAAAGCAAAACCUAAUGGUAAGAUCCUUGAUAACCGCUCAGACAGGGAAGUUCAUGGCGAGUGCCACUGUCCUGUCUCUGCCCCAGGGGAUGCCACUGAUAGCAGAGUCAGGCCCACCAUGAGCACAGCGGAGAUCUCAGUGUCUGAGGAGAGUCUCCCACACUGGCUGGGAUGAGAGGUCCUCCUCGUGUGCAUGAUGUGCAUGAUGAGGAUUUAUUUUCUCUUCCAUUAUCUGUUGAUGUGGAAGGAGAGGUGCUCCCUGCUGCAAACAACAGUGCGUUGCAGGCACAGCCUGACCAGUCCUCAUUACUACCUGCUGAAUGCUCUUGAGGUCAUCUAUGGUGUGAUCCAGAUGCUGUUCUCUGGUGAUGCAGCUCAGGCUAGUCUUUGUCUUUGAGGACACUCAGGGAUGCACUUGCCUGCUGUAUAUCCAGGUUGCAGAGCUCCGUCCUUUCUGUGAUGUGACAUGGCCUACUCUGGGCAGACAAGAGCAUCUCCUUCAAAGUCACCAGUGCCACCUGCUGUGGGGGCUGGUGAGACUGGUAGGUAGCCUUAGGUUAGGCAAAAUUUAGACUGCCUACGAGGAAUAUAGAGAGAUGACAGUCUCAGAAGAGGAUUUGGCUUUGAUAUAUCCCUGUGACUAUCCAGCUCAGGUGUAGGGUUAAUGGUGCCACCAGUUCAAGCUGGCACAAGCAAACUUUACUGUUUCCAGUUGCUAAACUCAUUGUGUGAGGAGAUUUUUUCAAGGAAAACCUUAUAACUCUUUAUAUUUGUAACCCAGAAGUCCUAUGAAGUCCCCUGGCACUGGACUGGAGGAAAGGAAGGACAAGUUGAAACUGGCUGUUUCAUCUGAACAAGUAGUGAUCCUGACUGCUGGCAAAGUAGUGACCGAAGUGCCACCAUCUUCCAGCACUGUCCUGCUGCUCCCUAUGAAAACCAGUGGAGCUCUCCAGGGGCACGUGUCCACAGGCAGCUCCAGAAGAAAAAAAUGCAAGUCAACAAAAAAGAUGGGACAAUACAGCCAUUGAUGAACUGCUCUCGUCCUCCCAUCCCGAUCCCCCCCACUCCCUCCCUCCCCUCCUCUGGUGCGUGCCAACACUCUUUCCACCCGCCCAGGGCUGGAGCCAGCGCCAAACAACCUCUGCUAAUAAACAAGAGGAACCAGAUAAACCAGGAACACAAUAGAGGGAUUUGUUGCACUUUAGUGAUGGUGGGAACAAUGUCAACUCCGUGGCGCAGCUGCAGGGACCCCCUCCCGUCCUCUCCCCCCACUGCCUUGCGCCCCCCGCUCACUUGCAGCCCAACACUGUGAUUUAUGAAAGGCCAAAGGUCACUGUGCAUUAAAGAGCUCCUUUCUUGCAUCAUUUAUUAACCCCUCUACGACAAGGCACGCUCAUUGUGGCGGCAGCGGUGAUGGUGGUACCGGGACCAGGGAGGGGACAGAGGAAUCCAUCCCAGUACCACCAUG
This is a long non-coding RNA of Neopsephotus bourkii (Bourke's parrot), 3911 nucleotides long. RefSeq lists it as uncharacterized. Lineage: Eukaryota; Metazoa; Chordata; Aves; Psittaciformes; Psittacidae. The record is from RefSeq and is a predicted model, not a curated record. The transcript is spliced from 4 exons.